AUUGCCUACAUAUAUAAGGGCUAGUGUAAGAUCUGGACUCAUUGCAUUAACUUUUCAAAAUUGUCAUGUAUAUAGUAAAUGGAGUUCGGGUAAUUCGUGGACUAAUUUUAGACAUUUUCGGAACUCGGCUGUACUAUAUCCAAUAAUAUACGUUCAUUCAAUUUUGCUAAAACGAUGAUGUCACCGAAGUUUGAAAUUCAUUUUUUAUGUAUUAUAUAUAGACCGUAACAAGAACAUGUUAGAAAAGCGUGAAGGGAUUUCUCAUAGAAGAGAUCAUGGCGACUUCACUUGUGCUACAGAAGGAGGAGAAAGAACACAUUCAGUACUCUGUGGGUCGAAAAUUGGGAGCUAAAGGUAGAUGCGUGAAUGAGGGGCUAAAUAUGAAACCACAUACUCCGACUAAAGAAAGGAAAAUACAAUUUUUAAGUAAAUAAAUGGUUAAUUUGUAUAUUUUAAGUGAAUUUGUGUAAUGAUAUAUAAUUAUAUAUAAUACAUCAAUUUAUACAUUCAACUAGUUAAAGAAAUAGUAACACUCCGUAAACGUGUCAGUAAA
Molecule: non-coding RNA, 553 nt
Organism: Bactrocera oleae (olive fruit fly)
Lineage: Eukaryota; Metazoa; Arthropoda; Insecta; Diptera; Tephritidae
Source: RefSeq, a predicted model, not a curated record